CUUUUCAGAGGCAACUGGAUCACUGGUGUGUGGCUCAUCAGUGGAUUUGCCUAUGAUAAGUUUAUAGCUGAAUGUGAUACUGGGAGGUAAAAGGCUGGUUAGAGGAGGUGGGUCACUGGGGGUGUAGACCGGAAGAGGCUAUCUCCCUCCCUCCUUUCUCCCUUAUUUCUUCUCUACUUCCCUCCCACCAUACCAUGGACUGUUCUGCCUGUGCCAUGCCACCCUGCCUUAGAGCCAGCUGUCUAUGGACUGAAACCUUUACAAACCGUGAGCUAAAAUAAAACCUUCCUCCUUUAACUUUUGGGUGUUGGGUAUUGUGUCCCAGGAAUGAGGGAAGUCACUGAGACACCCAUAUACACUGGGAAUAGAUUUAGUUUAGUGCAUUGGGCUUCAACUCUGGCUGCAUAUUAGAAAAACUUUUAAAAACAACAAAAACUGAUAUCCAGGGUGAGUAUGCAGAGCAAAAGAAGAAGUGGAGUCCCCAGUAUCCAUAUUAUUGAAAGUUCCCCGGGAAGUCUAAUGUGUAGCUCAUAAACUUGUCUUUUUUAGGAUGAAAGCCUCCGACCAUUCAACCUUGGCCUUGGCAAGCUCCUUUUGCACAUAAACAAAGUGAGCAGGGACUCUCUUUAACAGCUCCAGCUAAUUUAAAAACUAAUAACACUAACAUGUUUUAAUACCCUCACUAGCUCUGUUCAGCCUCAUUAGGAAGAGUAUAUAAAACAGGACGUGUAUCCCACCCCCAAGCUUAGAAAGGCACGCCCCGGGGAGGUGGCAUCGCCUUUCAGGCAGCAUCCACAGGCUGUGUGGUGAAAGCAGAGCAACCAGGCAGAGCGGUGGGCUGGGAGGGACUUCAGGGCUGGUCUGCACACCAGCUGUGGUCUGGAGGGGAGACUGACUUGUCUUGGGCCACCAAGAGCUGGAGGCAACAACAGGACCAGACCCCAAUUCUGUGGCUGAGGACGGCACUGUGGCCCAGCAGCGGUGAAACUGAGAGGUCUCCAGGCAAGGGCAACAGCCACCCCGCUACCUCUCAAGGAAUUAAAAUAACCAUAAUAACAG
This 1059-nucleotide long non-coding RNA is filed under the name Chinchilla lanigera (long-tailed chinchilla). RNAcentral describes it as "lncRNA (ENSCLAG00000026035.1)". Lineage: Eukaryota; Metazoa; Chordata; Mammalia; Rodentia; Chinchillidae. The record is from RNAcentral.